UAAUACGAAGGGUGCAAGCGUUACUCGGAAUUACUGGGCGUAAAGCGUGCGUAGGUGGUCGUUUAAGUCCGUUGUGAAAGCCCUGGGCUCAACCUGGGAACUGCAGUGGAUACUGGGCGACUAGAGUGUGGUAGAGGGUAGCGGAAUUCCUGGUGUAGCAGUGAAAUGCGUAGAGAUCAGGAGGAACAUCCAUGGCGAAGGCAGCUACCUGGACCAACACUGACACUGAGGCACGAAAGCGUGGGGAGCAAACAGGAUUAGAUACCCUGGUAGUCCACGCCCUAAACGAUGCGAACUGGAUGUUGGGUGCAAUUUGGCACGCAGUAUCGAAGCUAACGCGUUAAGUUCGCCGCCUGGGGAGUACGGUCGCAAGACUGAAACUCAAAGGAAUUGACGGGGGCCCGGCACAAGCGGUGGAGUAUGUGGUUUAAUUCGAUGCAACGCGAAGAACCUUACC
Molecule: ribosomal RNA, 457 nt
Filed under: uncultured Stenotrophomonas sp.
Lineage: Bacteria; Pseudomonadati; Pseudomonadota; Gammaproteobacteria; Lysobacterales; Lysobacteraceae
Description: bacterial SSU rRNA
Rfam family: Bacterial small subunit ribosomal RNA
Source: RNAcentral